RNAcentral lists this unclassified non-coding RNA (220 nucleotides) under Hevea brasiliensis (rubber tree). The record is from RNAcentral. Lineage: Eukaryota; Viridiplantae; Streptophyta; Magnoliopsida; Malpighiales; Euphorbiaceae.
GGUCAGGUGGCUUUAUUGCAAGAAGUUAAAAAUAGCAGUAAAAAUCAAAAUUAAAGGAAGCGUCUUAAACUCUACAAUAUGGGCCCCUCAUGGGCAUUUAUUCACUGUGCUCUUUGGGGAGGGAGAAGAUGAAUUGCUCCAGCUAGGACACUAAGAGAAAGAGAGUGCAAAGAUGAGAAGUAUAAAGUAUUUGGUACCUUCUUCCUUUCCCUCCUCUUUA